Molecule: transfer-messenger RNA, 357 nt
Filed under: Hyphomicrobiales bacterium
Lineage: Bacteria; Pseudomonadati; Pseudomonadota; Alphaproteobacteria; Hyphomicrobiales
Description: Rhizobiales bacterium transfer-messenger RNA
Rfam family: Alphaproteobacteria transfer-messenger RNA
About the family: Bacterial tmRNA, also known as 10Sa RNA or SsrA, is named for its dual tRNA and mRNA-like properties. Its role is to liberate the mRNA from a stalled ribosome. To accomplish this part of the tmRNA is used as a reading frame that ends in a translation stop signal.
Source: RNAcentral
GGCCUUCCCUUUUGCUUGCGGGCUUCCUAUAUUCGGCGCGUCAGCCUCGGCUGACUAUGGGCAUAAACGGCCGAUGCAAUAAGCCAUUCGGACCCGGGGGCGGUACCCGGCGCCUCCACCAGGAACCGCAGCGAGUGCGGCUGCUGAUGGGGGCGAAACAGGAUCGACGAGGGUGUAAAGAUCGGACUUUGUCCCGGCAUGGUAUCCACCGUUAUCGGGCCGAACCUAUAGUUGCCAACGACAACUAUGCUGAGGCGCGUCUCGCUGCGUAAUGCGGCGCGAUAGUCUCGAAUCAAGCCCUGCGGGUUAGCACCCUCAGGCGGGGUCCGGAGGUACCUGGCAACAGAAACCUCCACC